RNAcentral lists this ribosomal RNA (736 nucleotides) under Salmonella enterica. Its description in RNAcentral is "partial 23S ribosomal RNA". It matches the Rfam family "Bacterial large subunit ribosomal RNA", at positions 1 to 668 of the family's 2925-position model. RNAcentral also lists the same sequence under 1 other name. The record is from RNAcentral. Lineage: Bacteria; Pseudomonadati; Pseudomonadota; Gammaproteobacteria; Enterobacterales; Enterobacteriaceae.
GGGUUGUGAGGUUAAGCGACUAAGCGUACACGGUGGAUGCCCUGGCAGUCAGAGGCGAUGAAGGGCGUGCUAAUCUGCGAUAAGCGCCGGUAAGGUGAUAUGAACCGUUAUAACCGGCGAUACCCGAAUGGGGAAACCCAGUGUGACUCGUCACACUAUCAUUAACUGAAUCCAUAGGUUAAUGAGGCGAACCGGGGGAACUGAAACAUCUAAGUACCCCGAGGAAAAGAAAUCAACCGAGAUUCCCCCAGUAGCGGCGAGCGAACGGGGAGGAGCCCAGAGCCUGAAUCAGCAUGUGUGUUAGUGGAAGCGUCUGGAAAGGCGCGCGAUACAGGGUGACAGCCCCGUACACAAAAGCGCAUGUGCUGUGAGCUCGAUGAGUAGGGCGGGACACGUGGUAUCCUGUCUGAAUAUGGGGGGACCAUCCUCCAAGGCUAAAUACUCCUGACUGACCGAUAGUGAACCAGUACCGUGAGGGAAAGGCGAAAAGAACCCCGGCGAGGGGAGUGAAAAAGAACCUGAAACCGUGUACGUACAAGCAGUGGGAGCCCCACCACCAAAGCAUUCUCUGGUGUUGAAGGCCCUGCAAAGCAGCAUCGCGGUGGCGGAGCGUCGUUUGCGACGCCCAACACACAAAACAAGCGGUGAGUGCUUUGGGGUGGGGUGACUGCGUACCUUUUGUAUAAUGGGUCAGCGACUUAUAUUCUGUAGCAAGGUUAACCGAAUAGGGGAGCCG